CUUGUCUAAAUAGUACAUGAUUACCUCAGUUAGUUUUGUGGCUGUGGUAAUGUUCGUUUUAUGAGCUCAAUCUGGUUCUGAGCCAUCUGAACUUCAAAUUCCAGAUGCCUUAUCCCUACUGCUAACAUCUAAUAUACUGUGUACACAUGUGUACAAUGCAGGCUGUAUUGGAAAUACUCGGUUGUGCUCUCAAAGUCACACUGUGCUCUUCUUAAAACCAUAUUUGCAAGCCUUGAAGGAAAAGCACAAAAGAACUACCUUUUCAAUGAAUAUUGGUGGUUCUGAACUAUGGAGAGUGGGAAAAGACGAAGAAGGUCUGCGCUGGAAGAUGCCAGUGGGAUUUAGGUGACUAGAUGAUCCUUCCAUUUGUCAUCUGGCAAAGAUCCUAAGGUCAACCCUUACUUCUUAUAAAAUGAUAAGGUGUCUGUAAUGGCAAGGAAAGGUCUCAGAUUUAUUCCUCAACCAGAAAGAUAUGUCUCUUGUGGCACAUAAUGUGCAGGCACAAUCUAGAAGAUUGAUUCAACCGUCAGCCAUGAACUGAAUCAUCAGGAUCAUUAUAAUCUCUUCAAUUUUUUUGCAGUUCUCUAACAGAACUCUUUAUUAUUGUUGUUAUUAUUAGUAGUAUACUUAUUAUUACUACGAUUACUUCAUAAUAGAACCAAGGUUUUAAUAAGUUUGCUUAACUUCACAUUUCCAAUCUAAGCCACAGGCAGAGCAGAUCUAGAAACAGAAACAUUGGGUUCUAAGGCAUUGGAUCUCUAAAUGCAGUCCUCUGUUUUAGCGUAAAAUGAAUGUUUUCCUAAUCUUUCUUGAAUGAAAUCCUUCAUAUAGAGAAUAUGUAAUCUCAUUAGUAGUGUGUUUAGAUACAUUUGAAUCACAUCUUCUGUGUUGCACACUCACUGUGAUAAGAGUUUAGCUCUAAGAACUUAGAACAAUGUAUGUACUUCUCAUUACAUUCCAUGUCAACUGUGAGCAUACAAUUAAAGACUUGACCAUUCAUCAUUCUGAUCAGAGCUAGAUAGAUAACAGCUGAAGCUGUGACGUUGCAUCUGUUCUUACUUUGUAGAUCUGCAUCAAUGCUAGAACUCAAAUAGUGUUGCAAUGGGACAGACAAAUGUACCUGUUUUUCUGGCUUUUUUUUUUUUUUUUAAUCAGAUAAACUAGAAUGACUUGAAACUGGAAAGCUUAGAAGAUGGAUUUAUAAAAUCUGCUUUAAUAAACUCAGAAAUUAUAGGGGUUCUUCUGUUUGU
RNAcentral lists this long non-coding RNA (1250 nucleotides) under Coturnix japonica (Japanese quail). RNAcentral describes it as "lncRNA (ENSCJPG00005005412.1)". Lineage: Eukaryota; Metazoa; Chordata; Aves; Galliformes; Phasianidae. The record is from RNAcentral.